RNAcentral lists this long non-coding RNA (1701 nucleotides) under Zea mays. RNAcentral describes it as "long non-coding RNA (ZMAY_LNC002757)". Lineage: Eukaryota; Viridiplantae; Streptophyta; Magnoliopsida; Poales; Poaceae. The record is from RNAcentral.
CCGGAUCGCAGCAUGUCAAUGACUCUGUCUACAUGUCAACAUGGUCUAAUUCGUGAGGCAAGUGUGUGGAUCUUGGUCCAAUUCAGUUCAGACUUCAUCUACUUGUUAACAACUUCAGGUAAUACUCAAGUUAUUUAACUUCCUGACUAAUCAUGCACACAAAAUUGCAUAGUAGUUUAGUAUGCUACGCAUGAAUUUAAUGCAUAUAUCGACUCAGGCAUGCCACCGCUAUUUUGUGGUUCUGUGUGAAAUACUUUUAGUAACUUGGGAAAUGAUUAGUGGCUAAACCUGUCCGGAAAACAAAAUACCAACUAUGUGGCCCGGUGGUUUACUGGAUUUAGUUGCAGCACUUAUACUCACUGGUUUUGAUUCCAUUUCUAUUUUUGAUUGAAAAUCUGAGGAAAAGAUUCACGGCCACAAUUCAUGUUGUAUGUUUAGCAUUUUGUUGUUACAAUUAAGUUUCUAUGGUUAGAUACUUGCAAUCCAUUUAAGCAGGAAAAUAGGUCACUACUUGUACUGUAUGCUUCAUAUCUUUGUGAUCCAUGACUGUAUCAUACGCUUAGAAAAGCUGUAGCUCCUCAAUAAUUCUGAUCCAUUCAUUUAAUUGAGUUCCAAGUUUCUAUGCUGAAUCAGUUCUAAAUCCCUUCUCUUAUGCCUAAUUUUGAGUUGUAGCAGUGUGCUGUCUUCAUGCAUGUUUGUAGAGAGUGCCAGUGCGGCACUAGAGUUUGCUUGCAGCCUAAUCACUUCACCAUUACAUUGUCCUAGAAACAGUAAAGCUUAUGCCUAAUUAAUUUUUUAAUUGUAGGAGAAAUAAUGAGACAUCCUUGCUUUGCAUCUGUUAGCCAGCACUAGCAACAUGUUUCUGUUUGCUCUCUCUGUAUGUCCCUCUCUGAAGUUGUCUACAUGUUGUGGUGUUUCUGAAACAGAAAAUUUCAGUAAUUACAACAGAUGGGCAAGACCUGUACUUAGUUCAGCAACCUCAGUUCCUCUCUAUCGACAACUGUAGGUCAUGGUUAUCUGCAUUUCCUGUUCGGUGCGUUAUCUGGGUGCCUCAAGUAAGCCCUUGACUAACAAGUUGUUUGUGCUAUUUAUUGGAUUUGCAGUAGAUAGGUCUUUUAUAACAUGGUGAUAAUGGCAAACUCAGAACACCUUACAAUACAUUUUGUUGCUUCCAAAUAAAUUUGAAUUAAUACUUAUUAUCCAUUGGUACAGUUUUGCUGAUAUAUGGAGUGUUGGUUGCACGGUAAUUGAAAUCACAAUAGGCAAACUCGCUGGGUCUACAAGGGCUGGGUCGACGAGCGCACGCUCAACCCGGCCAAGAGCGUACUGUAAUAUGUAUUUAUAUGGGUGACAAUUUUGAAAUAUGAAUAUGUUCUUGCAGGAAUAAAGGUGGAAGGAAUUUUGCGCUCUAGAAGUGGAGGAGGUUGACAGUAGAUUGCAAGAAUAUGAGCAAGGUUUUUUUCAUUACUUAGUUUGUAUUUAAAAUUGUAGAAUAUGAGAAAGGUUUUUUGACACUCACUAUUUCGACAUAUGGGUUUUCUGUAUAUCUCUUGAUUUGUUUAGUGCUUUGCUGGGCCAGGGUCUUAGGUUGGUAGAUUUACAUUUACCUCCACUGCUUUAUGAGGUUCAGCCUUAUCGAUUAUCCCUUCAAUCCUGAAACCGUAACGUGAUGCUUCUAAUUGAACAGCAAGCUACUUAAAU